GAGUAGGGCUACACACGUGCUACAAUGGCGCAUACAAAGAGAAGCGACCUCGCGAGAGCAAGCGGACCUCAUAAAGUGCGUCGUAGUCCGGAUUGGAGUCUGCAACUCGACUCCAUGAAGUCGGAAUCGCUAGUAAUCGCAGAUCAGCAUGCUACGGUGAAUACGUUCCCGGGCCUUGUACACACCGCCCGUCACACCAUGGGAGGCGGUUGCAAAAGAAGUAGGUAGCUUAACCCUAGGCAGGGCGCUUCCCACUUUGUGAUUCAUGACUGGGGUGAAGUCGUAACAUGGUAACCGUAGGGGAACCUGCGGUUGGAUCACCUCCUUACCU
Molecule: ribosomal RNA, 331 nt
Filed under: Brenneria roseae subsp. americana
Lineage: Bacteria; Pseudomonadati; Pseudomonadota; Gammaproteobacteria; Enterobacterales; Pectobacteriaceae
Description: bacterial SSU rRNA
Rfam family: Bacterial small subunit ribosomal RNA
Source: RNAcentral